This 433-nucleotide ribosomal RNA is filed under the name uncultured bacterium. RNAcentral's name for it is "partial 16S ribosomal RNA". It matches the Rfam family "Bacterial small subunit ribosomal RNA", at positions 29 to 507 of the family's 1533-position model. The record is from RNAcentral.
AGCGAACGCUGGCGGCAGGCUUAACACAUGCAAGUCGAGCGGGCACUUCGGUGUCAGCGGCAGACGGGUGAGUAACACGUGGGAACGUACCCUUCGGUUCGGAAUAACGCUGGGAAACUAGCGCUAAUACCGGAUACGCCCUUUUGGGGAAAGGUUUACUGCCGAAGGAUCGGCCCGCGUCUGAUUAGCUAGUUGGUGGGGUAAUGGCCUACCAAGGCGACGAUCAGUAGCUGGUCUGAGUGGAUGAUCAGACACACUGGGACUGAGACACGGCCCAGACUCCUACGGGAGGGAGGAGUGGGGAAUAUUGGAAAAUGGGCGCAAGCCUGAUCCAGCCAUGCCGCGUGAGUGAUGAAGGCCUUAGGGUUGUAAAGCUCUUUUGUCCGGGACGAUAAUGACGGUACCGGAAGAAUAAGCACCGGCUAACUUCGUG